AGUGAACGCUGGCGGUAGGCCUAACACAUGCAAGUCGAACGGCAGCACAGUAAGAGCUUGCUCUUACGGGUGGCGAGUGGCGGACGGGUGAGGAAUACAUCGGAAUCUACUUUUUCGUGGGGGAUAACGUAGGGAAACUUACGCUAAUACCGCAUACGACCUACGGGUGAAAGCAGGGGAUCUUCGGACCUUGCGCGAUUGAAUGAGCCGAUGUCGGAUUAGCUAGUUGGCGGGGUAAAGGCCCACCAAGGCGACGAUCCGUAGCUGGUCUGAGAGGAUGAUCAGCCACACUGGAACUGAGACACGGUCCAGACUCCUACGGGGGGCAGCAGUGGGGAAUAUUGGGCAAAGGGCGCAAGCCUGAUCCAGCCAUACCGCGUGGGUGAAGAAGGCCUUCGGGUUGUAAAGCCCUUUUGUUGGGAAAGAAAAGCAGCAGGUUAAUACCCCGCUGUUCUGACGGUACCCAAAGAAUAAGCACCGGCUAACUUCGUG
This 492-nucleotide ribosomal RNA is filed under the name uncultured bacterium. Its description in RNAcentral is "partial 16S ribosomal RNA". It matches the Rfam family "Bacterial small subunit ribosomal RNA", at positions 29 to 507 of the family's 1533-position model. The record is from RNAcentral.